This is a long non-coding RNA of Musa acuminata AAA Group (dessert banana), 380 nucleotides long. RefSeq lists it as uncharacterized. Lineage: Eukaryota; Viridiplantae; Streptophyta; Magnoliopsida; Zingiberales; Musaceae. The record is from RefSeq and is a predicted model, not a curated record. The transcript is spliced from 2 exons.
UCAAUGGGUGAUGAAGCUCUCUAUAUAAUUUGGUGAACAGGAACCUUCUAACCUUCUUUAUCAUGGGGGCGAAGAUCGCGUGUGUUAUCCUUCUCCUCAUCCUUUUUACAGCUGAUGUUGUGGUUGAGGCACAACAACCCGAUCGUAUCUGCAAAGUUGUCUUAGACAGCCCAUGUACCGAUUCAAAUUGUGCGGAGGGAUGCACUAGAACUUAUACUGGAGACGGUGUUUGUGAUAAUAAUCGAUGCAUAUGUUCCUUUCAAUGUCCGUUGUGACUCUAGACACUUUGUUUCAUGUCCUUCCAAUGCCAGAAGUGUUAUCAAUAAAUAAAAAGCCUAUCAACUCAGAGAUUCCUGGGGAUCUCAUCUUUUAUACUUCAA